This 239-nucleotide unclassified non-coding RNA is filed under the name uncultured Galerina. Its description in RNAcentral is "sequence contains ITS1". The record is from RNAcentral. Lineage: Eukaryota; Fungi; Basidiomycota; Agaricomycetes; Agaricales; Cortinariaceae.
UUGAAUGAACUUGGCGUGGUUGUCGCUGGCCCUCUAGGGGGCAUGUGCACGCCCGUCAUCUUUAUCUUUCCACCUGUGCACACUUUGUAGACUUGGAUAGUACUUUCCGAGGCAACUCGGUCGAGAGGAUUGCUGUGCUUUAAUGUCAGCUCUCCUUGCAUUAUCCAGGCCUAUGUUUUCAUAUACCCCAAAGAAUGUAACAGAAUGUAUUAUUGGGCCUUGUGCCUAUAAACUAUAUA